CGACGCGCACACCAGGAGAGGAGAAGCGCGCGUGCUACAGUCGAAGUCUCGCCGUCGCCCGUCGCUGCCUUCGCCAUUUUCUUCCGUUGCCCGGUCAUCGAAGUUUCCGAAUCGCUCAGCUGUGUCGGCUGUGCGUGCCCGUGUCCUGUGUGUGCGCGACUGUGAUCUCAACGCUGGACGUGAACGGCAUUUAGCGACGGCAGUGCAACAUCCUGUGCUGUGAGCGUGUUCGCGUUGGUUUCAUGAUGGUCUGGAGACUCAAGCGAGCUUGCACCUUCGUGUAUGCGUGUUCGGCCAGCACCUGGUUAGGCACAGUCGGAAAUGCGAACGAUGGUGCUCAAGAUGGCACAUGCAACGCUAUGCAGCUGUGGACACCAGCAGCUUGAUAAGAACUCUCGAAGCUCAUCUGGAUGCUUCACAGAACCUGGGAAGACUGAACACUUUUGGCAAAACAGCAACAGUUCUGGCCCAUCUGUUUGUCUACAAGACGGUCUCUUCCGUGAACACUCCUGUGCCUUACAGUAUACUAUAGUGAUGAUCUUGUACAUCUCUCUGUAUUUAGGAUUGUCAGCACAUGG
Rhipicephalus sanguineus (brown dog tick) is the source of this 578-nucleotide long non-coding RNA. RefSeq lists it as uncharacterized. The record is from RefSeq and is a predicted model, not a curated record. The transcript is spliced from 3 exons. Lineage: Eukaryota; Metazoa; Arthropoda; Arachnida; Ixodida; Ixodidae.